This is a long non-coding RNA of Spinacia oleracea (spinach), 1056 nucleotides long. RefSeq lists it as uncharacterized. The record is from RefSeq and is a predicted model, not a curated record. NCBI's taxonomy places the organism in Eukaryota, Viridiplantae, Streptophyta, Magnoliopsida, Caryophyllales, Amaranthaceae. The transcript has 5 exons.
UCUUUCCCGUAUUCAUUAAAAAAUAAAUAAACGUUAAUGCUUUUAUUCUUCACUGUGCACUAUCUCUCCCCUAAAAUUACAUUUUUGCUUGGCUUGCUCCCCAGUUCCCACCUCACUCUCCUUCACCCUCUAUCAACCAUGUUGUCGACUACGCCCCCUACUCCGCGGCCGCAGCUCAGACUUCCACCAAUUCCGAAGGGUCUGGCGGCUUUAAGUCACCUAUGAAUCCACCAGAAAAGGCGUAGUUGGAAAGGUCUGGCAGUGGAUCGGUGCGGUCGUCGUCUCGUCAAUGUUCGAUUUGAAUAUGGUCAAUCGUUUUGAACACCGAUACUGUUCGAGAUAACUUUGAUUCACUUCACACAUAAGGGAGCAGCAGUUUCAUGCUUUCAAGAAGCUUUUGGUGCAUAUGCAAUCCAAAGAAGAAAAUAAUCGAGAAAUUGAAGAACCGCAAUCGACACCUUCUUUCCACGCUUUUAAUCCAAGGUUGGUCUCGUUGCUUUCUGCCGACUUCCCUCUUUGCCCCACCAACAACAAUCAAUCGCUUUCGUUUACCCACAAAUCACUCUACAAAUAUUGGUGUCUCACUCUGUAUAGGACAGAUAAGUUGAAAAGGAUUGCGGCAGAAGAACGAGUUGUCCUUAGGAUUCAAAGUCGGAUUGCUGAACAUAUUAGAAGUCUUGAGGAAUAGGGAAUUCUUCAGGUUGAAGAGCUUGUCAGAAUGAGAAUGGUUUAUGAAUUGUCGAAUUUGCACAAGGUAAGAGAGAUGCAACGUGAAGUCUUGAGGAUACAAAACAAAAGCCAAAUUCCAUGGGAGUAUCAUCCUCUGCCAUAUUUUUCUGUAAUUGCGAGGAGAGUUGAUCCUAACAUUCAUAGGAAAAAUUUGUAGAUACAUAAUCACUGGUAAGAGCUACAUAUUUCUUCUUGUCACCUCCAAUGUAUUUCAGAUCAUUCAUUCGCAUUUUCCUCCGUCUAUUUAUUUUUAAUUGAUUUCUUCCCUCGUGAAACUUUAAAUGCAAAUUAAGUUAAUGAUUCAACUUAAGUUUCGUAAUUGAUUGA